UUUACGGGAGGCAGCAGUGGGGAAUCUUGGACAAUGGGCGCAAGCCUGAUCCAGCCAUGCCGCGUGAGUGAUGAAGGCCUUAGGGUCGUAAAGCUCUUUCGCCUGUGAAGAUAAUGACUGUAGCAGGUAAAGAAACCCCGGCUAACUCCGUGCCAGCAGCCGCGGUAAUACGGAGGGGGUUAGCGUUGUUCGGAAUUACUGGGCGUAAAGCGCACGUAGGCGGACUAGUCAGUCAGAGGUGAAAUCCCAGGGCUCAACCCNGGAACUGCCUUUGAUACUGCUAGUCUAGAGUUCGAGAGAGGUGAGUGGAAUUCCAAGUGUAGAGGUGAAAUUGGUAGGUAUUUGGAGGAACACCAAUGGCGAUGGCGGCUAACUNGAACCAGUAGCCGAAACUCAAAGGAAUUGACGGAAGUCAAAGCAGGUGCCGAAACUCAAAUGAAUUGACGGAACUCAAAGAAUUGCCGAAACUCAAAGAAUGACGGAACUCAAANAAUGACGAAAUCAAA
RNAcentral lists this ribosomal RNA (506 nucleotides) under uncultured bacterium. Its description in RNAcentral is "bacterial SSU rRNA". The stretch from base 1 to 426 matches the Rfam family "Bacterial small subunit ribosomal RNA", at positions 338 to 873 of the family's 1533-position model. The record is from RNAcentral.